CCGCGUUUCAAAUUAUCCUUCUCAAUUCGGUCAAAGUCAGCUGCACUACCUCACUAACACUAGUACUUUAGGUACUAAUUAGCAGACAUGAACUGGACAUACUAUACGAACCACUCAAUUCUCAUGUCUGUCAAUGGAUGUAUCAAUCGGUUAAAGUAUAUGCUCGCUAAAUAGGUUUUAAUUGAUAUAAUAUUUAAAUGGUUUAUGGGUAUCAUGGUGGUAUGGAGUGAUAGGG
Pelobates cultripes (western spadefoot toad) is the source of this 235-nucleotide non-coding RNA. The record is from the annotation of a GenBank genome assembly. Lineage: Eukaryota; Metazoa; Chordata; Amphibia; Anura; Pelobatidae.